Molecule: ribosomal RNA, 296 nt
Filed under: Rhizoctonia solani
Lineage: Eukaryota; Fungi; Basidiomycota; Agaricomycetes; Cantharellales; Ceratobasidiaceae
Description: partial large subunit ribosomal RNA
Rfam family: Bacterial large subunit ribosomal RNA
Source: RNAcentral
UCUNGGCAAAUUAUCCUCAUAAGUUUGACAAUAAGAGGAACCCCAUGCCUUUGGCAGCGGGUGUCACAAAAUCGGAGGCCACGACUGUUUACUAAAAACACAAUUCAGAGCAAUGAUGAAAAUCAUAGUAUUCUGGAUGAAAUUUGCUCGAUGCCAUUAACAUAAAAGAGGUAAUGGGAAACUGUUACUAAUUGAAAGUCUGGUUAAUAGCGGUCUUAACUAUGAGGAUCCUAAGGUAGCAAAAUCAGUUGGCCAUUAAAUGUGGUCUGGUAUCAAUAGUGUAACGAUGGUCUCAC